Molecule: long non-coding RNA, 381 nt
Organism: Acanthopagrus latus (yellowfin seabream)
Lineage: Eukaryota; Metazoa; Chordata; Actinopteri; Spariformes; Sparidae
Exons: 3
Source: RefSeq, a predicted model, not a curated record
CUCAUGUGUCUUAUAGUCUGCGUCUCCCUUUGUCUUGGGCCAGAGUGUCUCGUUCCGUCGUGCACCUCAGCCUUUCACCACAGUCGAAGUCUUGCGACAGCUCAGAGAGGCGACAUGAAACAGGACGAGGGAGAGGAGGGACGAGUCUCCGGAGGGCCACAGGUCGGACUCGAACCUGCAGCGAGAGAGAGCGGUGGACGGGGUUGAAAUUUGUCCUGAACAUCAUUUACAACAUGUGUUCAUUCAAAUAUCUGAAUCUGAAAGUUUACAGUCAUCAGAUUAACAACAGUAACUAAAUAUCUUCUGUCCUCACAUAAUCGGGGAAAAAUAGGAUAUCAUGUACAAACUAAUAUUAAACUCAUGUGAGCGUGUUAAUUCUCA